RNAcentral lists this ribosomal RNA (490 nucleotides) under uncultured bacterium. RNAcentral describes it as "partial 16S ribosomal RNA". It matches the Rfam family "Bacterial small subunit ribosomal RNA", at positions 30 to 507 of the family's 1533-position model. The record is from RNAcentral.
AUUGAACGCUGGCGGCAGGCCUAACACAUGCAAGUCGAACGGUAACAGGAAGAAGCUUGCUUCUUUGCUGACGAGUGGCGGACGGGUGAGUAAUGUCUGGGAAACUGCCUGAUGGAGGGGGCUAACUACUGGAAACGGUAGCUAAUACCGCAUAACGUCGCAAGACCAAAGAGGGGGACCUUCGGGCCUCUUGCCAUCGGAUGUGCCCAGAUGGGAUUAGCUAGUAGGUGGGGUAACGGCUCACCUAGGCGACGAUCCCUAGCUGGUCUGAGAGGAUGACCAGCCACACUGGAACUGAGACACGGUCCAGACUCCUACGGGAGGCAGCAGUGGGGAAUAUUGCACAAUGGGCGCAAGCCUGAUGCAGCCAUGCCGCGUGUAUGAAGAAGGCCUUCGGGUUGUAAAGUACUUUCAGCGGGGAGGAAGGGAGUAAAGUUAAUACCUUUGCUCAUUGACGUUACCCGCAGAAGAAGCACCGGCUAACUCCGUG